AUCGCUUCUCGGCCUUUUGGCUAAGAUCAAGUGUAGUGAUAUGUAUAGGCAUACUUGAGUUUAGUAACUUAAAGGAUUGUUUGUUACCUUUCCUGAUUGUACAAAUGUAUAGGCAUCCUCGGGUUUAGUAUGUUAAAGCAAUGUUCUAUAUAUUUAGAAUGCUUGAU
RNAcentral lists this small nuclear RNA (167 nucleotides) under Cairina moschata (Muscovy duck). RNAcentral's name for it is "domestica (muscovy Duck (domestic type)) U2 spliceosomal RNA (ENSCMMG00000005016.1)". The stretch from base 1 to 92 matches the Rfam family "U2 spliceosomal RNA". Rfam says of the family: U2 is a small nuclear RNA (snRNA) component of the spliceosome (involved in pre-mRNA splicing). Complementary binding between U2 snRNA (in an area lying towards the 5' end but 3' to hairpin I) and the branchpoint sequence (BPS) of the intron results the bulging out of an unpaired adenosine, on the BPS, which initiates a nucleophilic attack at the intronic 5' splice site, thus starting the first of two transesterification reactions that mediate splicing. The record is from RNAcentral. Lineage: Eukaryota; Metazoa; Chordata; Aves; Anseriformes; Anatidae.